RNAcentral lists this ribosomal RNA (206 nucleotides) under uncultured bacterium. RNAcentral's name for it is "partial 16S ribosomal RNA". It matches the Rfam family "Bacterial small subunit ribosomal RNA", at positions 1297 to 1500 of the family's 1533-position model. The record is from RNAcentral.
AUUGUAGUCUGCAACUCGACUACAUGAAGCUGGAAUCGCCUAGUAAUCGCGAAUCAGAAUGUCGCGGUGAAUACGUUCCCGGGUCUUGUACACACCGCCCCGUCACACCAUGGGAGUCGGAAAUGCCCGAAGUCAGUGACCCAACCGAGAGGAGGGAGCUGCCGAAGGUGGAGCCGGUAACUGGGGUGAAGUCGUAACAAGGUACC